GGGACCGGACUGCUAUCGGAUUGAUACUAAGCCAUGCGAGUCAUUGUAGCAAUACAAGGCAUACGGCUCAGUAACGCGUAGUCAACCUAACCUAUGGACGGGAAUAACCUCGGGAAACUGAGAAUAAUGCCCGAUAGAACAUUAUGCCUGGAAUGGUUUAUGUUCCGAAUGAUUUAUCGCCGUAGGAUGGGACUGCGGCCUAUCAGUUUGUUGGUGAGGUAAUGGCCCACCAAGACUAUUACAGGUACGGGCUCUGAGAGGAGUAGCCCGGAGAUGGGUACUGAGACACGGACCCAGGCCCUAUGGGGCGCAGCAGGCGAGAAAACUUUGCAAUGUGCGAAAGCACGACAAGGUUAAUCCGAGUGGUUUCUGCUAAAGAAACCUUUUGUCAGUCCUAGAAACACUGAUGAAUAAGGGGUGGGCAAGUUCUGGUGUCAGCG
RNAcentral lists this ribosomal RNA (440 nucleotides) under uncultured archaeon. RNAcentral's name for it is "bacterial SSU rRNA". It matches the Rfam family "Archaeal small subunit ribosomal RNA", at positions 18 to 463 of the family's 1478-position model. The record is from RNAcentral.